CUAGUGGCGCACGGGUGCGUAACGCGUGGGAAUCUGCCCUUCGGUUGGGAAUAACACAGAGAAAUUUGUGCUAAUACCUUAUAAUGUCUUCGGACCAAAGAUUUAUCGCCGAGGGAUGAGCCCGCGUAGGAUUAGCUAGUUGGUGGGGUAAUGGCCUACCAAGGCGACGAUCCUUAGCUGGUCUGAGAGGAUGAUCAGCCACACUGGGACUGAGACACGGCCCAGACUCC
This 230-nucleotide ribosomal RNA is filed under the name uncultured bacterium. RNAcentral's name for it is "partial 16S ribosomal RNA". It matches the Rfam family "Bacterial small subunit ribosomal RNA", at positions 92 to 339 of the family's 1533-position model. The record is from RNAcentral.